GUAGGGAAUAUUGGGCAAUGGAUGCAAGUCUGACCCAGCCAUCCCGCGUGCCGGAAGAAGGCCCUCAGGGUUGUAAACGGCUUUUGACGGUGAAGAAUCGACAGGAUGCGUCCUGUUUUGACGGUAGCCGUUGAAUAAGCACCGGCUAACUCCGUGCCAGCAGCCGCGGUAAUACGGAGGGUGCGAGCGUUGUCCGGAUUUAUUGGGUUUAAAGGGUGCGUAGGCUGGAAGGUCAGUCAGAGGUGAAAAGCUGUCGCUUAACGAUAGUCUUGCCGCAGAUACUUCCUUUCUUGGAUGAGGAGGAGGCCACUGGAACGGAUGGUGUAGCGGUGAAAUGCAUAGAUAUCAUCCAGAACACCGAUUGCGAAGGCAGGUGGCUGUACCUUAAUCGACGCUGAUGCACGAAAGCAUGGGGAGCAAACAGGAUUAGAAACCCCUGUAGUCC
Molecule: ribosomal RNA, 445 nt
Filed under: uncultured bacterium
Lineage: Bacteria
Description: partial 16S ribosomal RNA
Rfam family: Bacterial small subunit ribosomal RNA
Source: RNAcentral